AUUAAUUUUUCUUUGUUUAUUUAAAUUUUCAUUAAAGUAUUAUUUUGGUUUUUGUAUCUUUUUGAUAAAAUUUUUUUUUUCUAUCUGUGAAGGGUUUAUUUUUAUUUGUUAAAGUUGAUUUUUUUUUGUACCUUGUGUAUUAGGGUCUAUUAAUUUUUAAUAUUUAAUUUGUUUUUCCCGAAUCUGAGAGGGCUAAUUUUAUUAAGAUGGUUUAUGUGUUAUAAUAAUCUUUAAUAUUAAGUUUGUAAUGAUAUGUUAAUCGUUCUUGGUGUUAUCUGGUUUUUCGGGAAAUUAAUUUAAUUUGGCAUUCUUUUUUUCUCUUUUUUAUUAGGUUUGAUGUUUUGAUUGUAUUUUUAAGGGGGAUUAGCUCUUUUUGAUAUUUCUAUAAUUUUUUGUUUUAAGUUUGAAUUUGUUGGUUUUGUGUUAACUAUCAUUGAUGAUUAUGUUGAAAUUUUACCUUUGCUUUUUUUUAUUUUGUUUUUUUUAGUAGUUUUACUGGAAUGGGAUUUUUAAUGGUUUUUUGUUUUUAAUAAUGAUUGAAUUAGUAUAUUUUUUAUAUUUUGUUUUGGUGUUUAUAAGUAUUUUAAAGGAAUUAGGCAAAUUUUAAUUUUUGUCUGUUUAUCAAAAACAUUUCCUGAUGGUGUUUAUAUUAGGUAUGGCCUGCCCACUGAGAUAUUUCUUUAAGGGCCGCGGUAAUUUGACCGUGCGAAGGUAGCAUAAUCAUUAGUCUUUUAAUUGUUGACUUGUAUGAAUGGUUUUACAAAAAAUUUUCUGUCUUUGUUUUAUUUAUUGAAUUUAAAUAUUGGGUGAGAAUGCUCAAAUGUUUUUAUGGGACGAGAAGACCCUAUAGAGUUUUACUUUUCUUUCUUUCUUUUGUGUUUGUUUUUUUAUGUAUUGUUAUGAGAGUUUUGUUGGGGUGAUUGGGAGAUUUAAUUAACUCUUUUUAUUUAUUAUUAUUUAUUUAUAAUUUAUUGAUCCUUUUUUAUUGAUUAUAAGAUAAAAUUACCUUAGGGAUAACAGCGUAAUCCUUUUUGAUAGUUCUUAUUGAUGAAGGGGGUUGCGACCUCGAUGUUGGAUUAAGAUUACUAUAUGGUGCAGUGGCUAUAUUUAGUGGGUCUGUUCGACCUUUAAUUUCUUACAUGAUCUGAGUUCAAACCGGCGUGAGCCAGGUUGGUUUCUAUCUAUUGUUUAAAUGUUUUAGUACGAAAGGACCAAUCAUUUUUAAUAAUUGUUUAUUUUUUGAUUUAUAUUAAGUAUUU
Molecule: ribosomal RNA, 1259 nt
Filed under: Anaplecta sp. 1 ZQW-2020
Lineage: Eukaryota; Metazoa; Arthropoda; Insecta; Blattodea; Anaplectidae
Description: 16S ribosomal RNA
Rfam family: Archaeal large subunit ribosomal RNA (bases 829-1185)
Source: RNAcentral